UUAUACUCGUAUGCCAAUUAAAACAUAUUUUACCAUUCAUCAUCUUCUCCAACGCACUUCUAUAGAACAAAAAACCUAACCCAUAUGAUUAGAUUAUUUUUAAUCCUUUUCGAACUAAAAGUAGUAUAUAUAGAAAUUGAAUAAUCAGUGGUUUUGAAGGAGGAUUUCACAGUCACCAAUGUACUAUUGAAGUUUACAAAGUACUUGUCUAGUAAUGCAAGGUAAGGAAAAUUGAACUUUCUCUUUAUUUGCUUUUACUUAUUUGUUUAUUUCAACCAAGUAAAUGAUGAUAUACUAAUUUGCAAGCACAUGGCUUAAGAAUUCGUCCAUGGGUUGCAAGUUUUCAAGGGCUUUGGCAAAUGUUUGUGGGUUUUGUUUUGUGUUUUUUAUUUUUUUAAUGUUCAUGAUAAAUUUUGUCCAGUGCUUCAAUUGAUUUGUGCAUAUAUUGAAAAAUGGGUUAGAGAUUGAUAUUAGGAUUUGGUGGCAGUAGCAGAUCAAAUUAAAGGAAAAUAAUAAGAUUUUGAAGUAGACAAAUUUCACUUUCCUUUAAAAAUUUCUUUAUAUAAAACAAUUUUAAAAAUUAAUGUACAUAAAGCCAAUCAUUUAUUUUAUUUGCUGGUUGUUAUAAUAUGUAUUGCUUAUUAAUUUUAAAGUUGGCUACAAUGAAUGGAUGAGGGUAAACCUAACAAAGUUAAGUUCCAGAGGUUUAUGCUUAGUUUUCUAACUUUGAAGAAUGGGUUUAUUAAGGGUUGCAAGUGGUUUUGUUGGUAUUGAUGGGUGUCAUUUGAAGGAGCCUUAUGGUGGAAUUAUGUUGUCAGUGGUUUCCUUAUAUGCAAAAAGUGACGUUUUCCCUAUUGUUGUGUGCAUUUGUGAGAUGAAGAGUUCAAAGACUUGGAAGUGGUUCCUUAGCAUUUUGAGGGAGUGGCUUGAAAUUGAAGAUGAUAUUCUUGUUACCUUUAUGAAAAAUAGGCAAAAGAGCUUAUUGGCUAGUUUGGCUGAGUUCUGGCCUAGAUCUACUGUUAGAUAUUGUGCUAGGCAUUUAUUUGCAAAUGUGAGGAGUAAAUGGCCUGAACAAGUGUUUAGAACUCUGUUUUGGUCAGACAUGCUUUGAAUCAUCUUGCAAAGUCUGAUCAUGUGACCAAUAAUAUGAUAGAGUCAUGGAAUGGUUAGUUAAAAGAGCAUAGGGGUAGUCCAGUGCUGACUCUCAUGGAUUAUAUUAAUAAUGAGGAGAUUGCAUAAGAGAAUGAAAAGGCUAUGACAUGGAAGGGUAGACUACCCCCUAAUGUCCAGAAGAAACUAGAUUUGAAUAGUGAAGAAGGAAGGACAUGCAAGGUUUUAGAGGCAUAUGAUUAUGAUUUGGAAAUCAUUGAUGAUGUCACUCAUGAAUCUUUUGUAGUUGAUCUAGAUAAAAGAAUAUGUGGUUGUGGGGCAUAUCAAAUUAGUGGCAUCCCUUUUUUAAGCAUGUGAUGCCAUGUAUUGCAAUGAGGUGUGAACGUGUUGUUUUUUUUUUUUUUUUUUGAAUAUUGUUAUACAGGACUGUGGGUAUUACAAUUAAUAUUUACAAACAGAUUCUACAAUUGGGACCUUCUUUGUGGCAUGUACUCCUCUGAAGCGCUGUCCAAAUUCUGCAAACCCUCUCAAAUAUUCGAGGGUUGUCCACUCUACUCACAUUUCGUGAGAAAUAGAUUGGCUCCACUCAAUUAUUUGAUAAUUGAGAAAGGAUUGUAAAUAAGCCCCAUAAAUGUUUUUAUGGAGGCUCGAACCCUUGCAUUCAUUAUUCUAAGUGCAAGGGUUCUCUCACUGGACCAAAGGCCCAUUGGUUGCGUGAACGUGUUGCUAAUUAUGUAGAUUCACGUCUAACAGUUCGAGCUUAUAUUGUUACUUAUUCAGAGUCUACAAAGCCUUUGCCAGAUCAAGCAAUAUGGCCUAGUGUUCGAGGACCUGAGAUUGAGCCACCAGAAAUAUUAGUGCAAGUUGGCAGGGCAAAAAAACAUGCAAGAGAAAAGGAAUUGAAUGAACUGCUUAGGAAAAGGAAGAAUAAGCAAACUGUCAAGUGCAUUAACUGCAGUGGUAUAGGGCACAACAAAAGGUCUUGUAAAAACCCUGUAGAAAGUUCAUUUCAGGUACAUUCUUUAUUUUGAAUUAUGUUAACUUAAAAUUUGAAAUUAUCUAUUGUAUUAACUGCAAUAAGUUACUUUAUUGUCUUCCUGUCAUAUGGUAAUGUGCAGGUAGCAAAGUCACUAAAUACCACUCAAUCUGAAAGACAAUCACAGUUACAGCCAUAAAGAGUAGGGAAUCAUAUUAAUUUGAUAAUGGAUAUGGAAAUGAUGCAUUUUGAUCGUAGACAUUUUUUAAUCAGACUUUGUGGGGCAUUUGAAUUGAGCUGAUAUAUCCAGGUCAUUUCGUUUGUAACAACUCAACUAUUGCAACAGCAUGUAACAGCUCAACUAUUGCAACAACAUGACUUGUUCUCGAAUAUCAUGUCUCCAUUCACUUUUUCAUGAGUAUUUGCCAUUGAUUUUGAACCUGACAAAUUUUAUUUCCAUGAAAUGAGCUUGAUGGAUUAAUGAACAAUGGAACGUGAUUGAAUUAAAAUUGAUUUUUCAUGGGAAAAUGCAAUCACCUAGCUAGAAUUAAUGGAUUAUAUUUUAAAAUAUUGCAAUUGGCAUCAAAAUUGUAAAAAUGGAUUAUAUUUUAAGGAUAUUUGUGUGAUUAAAAUGAUUCACAAGGGUAUAGAUGUAACUUAAAAAUCUCAUCGACAAUGAUUCUAUAAGACUAUUUUUUUAAUUUCAUAUAGGAACAAAAUUGUAAAUCAAUGUUAUUAUCUGGAGCCACAUUUGUCACAUAUUUAUUUAUUCAAUUUUUUCAAAAAGUAAGUGCAACAUAAGGGUAUAAUAAUAAAUUUAACAUUUUCCAUCCAAACUAACAGUAAAAGUUAAUGGAGAGGGGUCUUGGUGCCCCUUGUAAAAAAUUUAGGGAUUCCUAUGAUUAUUUUUACAAAUUAUGGAAGUAUAACUGUCAUUUUUCUGAUAUAAAUAAAUACUUAUUCUCAUUGACUAUAAAUUAAAUAACUUAUAUUUAUUCUUUUACCAAAUAGCUGCUUUUCCUCUUCAAAAUUCACUUUUUUAUUGUAUACAUCUCCGAUAGUUUUCAUAUUACCUCAUUACAUAGCAAUCUAACAAACAAUGAUCAGCAUAUCACAAGUCAAAUUGCUCAACGGCUGUCCACAUCUUGAUUUAUCAAAGAUAUCAAUUGUAACACACACAGAGGAUCCCCAAAGUGGCCAUUUAAUUACCAGAACAACAAAAAAUAAAAUUGCAAAAAGAAUCUAAAAACCUAAUAAAUAAUGCGACAACUGACAACUGCUUGGAGAAGAUAACCAAAAAGAGAUGAAAAGAAAUGAAUGUGUAAAUGAGUGGGACCGUCACAUUCAACAUACAUUUUCACUUCCACUUUACUCUCUACUCGAGUCCUUUUCUACACACACGUGCGUCCUCACGUGGAAAGACUUGGAAGGCUACCACGGAAGCACAUCUCUUUCACUCGGUAACAUCUAUUUUUCAACCUUGUCAGGAUUGCACGUGUUACCCCUUCUUCUUUUGGUCCCACACCUUUUCUGCCCUUCGAAUAAUGCUAUGCAUGCAUAAAUGAUGAAACGGCCAACAUACUUUUAGCUUACUAUUUGAAACCACCAGGGUAUUUUUAGUCACAAGAAAUUCGAAUCUAAACUUGACAGUAUGAGAUGUCAACCAAUUGCAAAGUUUUAAAAAUACAGGAUGAAAUAAAAGAACAGAAAUGGAAUGUGGAAACAAUACAUGUACAUUUUGCCUAAUUUGAUAUAAAUGGAAUGUGGAAACAAUACAUGUACAUUUUGCCUAAUUUGAUAUAAAUGGAAUGUGGAAACAAACUUCAAAAUGUGUAAUAGACUAUAAUUGGAUGUACUUGUUACACCAAUAUUUAUUUAGUUUUAUCAUCUCAACUUGAAAUUAAUUGGUCAGGCAAAAAGAUUUUUUUUUUCUUUGAUAAAAAAUGAUGUUUUUAAAAAAGCUGAAGGGUUUUAAUUUCUAUCUUUCCACACUAUUCAAAUUCAAGUACCUAAUCAAAUAAAACUAUUUAAAAACUAUUUGAUCAAGUUCUUAGAGAAUAUUUUAUAAAGAAUUCAAAAGCCUAUUAUGACGACAUUAUAAUAUUUUACAUUUUCGUAUGUUGAAAGAGCAACAAAGGAGUGUUUCUAUUUUAUUUAUUAUGUGCAUGUAUAUCCUCCAUCUAAUAGAAUGAUCCCACGUAUAAAGAUACGCACAUAUUAACUAUAGAAGCUUAUAGGUCUAAUGGAUAUUCAAAAGCUAACCCAAGAGUAAAGAGCAUGUGCAAGUCUUAUAUACUUAAUCUAAGAUUUUUAAUCUUAGCUGAUGUAGGAAUUAAAUUCCCUAAUACUCUGCAUCACGUGCAAACCAAUAUUUAAUUAGUCCUAGUCAAAUGGUAAGAUAGUGUGAGUCCACUCUAAGAUACUAUAUAGAAGAUCAUGGGCAUUACGCUUAUUGAAAAAUAACUUUAAAACUUGAGAAUUGCCAAAACCUUAAAUACUUAAUCCAAUAUUCAUUCUCAACCGUUGUGUAUAGUACCACUUACAUUAACGAAUCUGAUUACACUCCACAUAUAAGGAUAUAUUUUUUCAAAGCAACAUUAUUCCAUCAUACCAACACUAUAACACUAUUAAACUUAGGUAGAAUUUCUUAUAUACGUUUUUACAAAGUCAGACUAAGAAGCAAACUUACAAAUUUGAUGGAUUUAUCAUGGAAGGGUAUGAGAGCAGGAAAUGGGUGGGCAGAUCGAUGGAGUGUAAAUAAAGCAGGAGAUGAAAUAUGAAGAAACAAAGAAAAGAAAAGAUGGAUGGUGAUUGGCGAUGGUGGGAUCCAAAGGUAAAAACUAAUUAAAGGGGCCGCACGAGCGGGCUGUGAGCCACUGAGAAUGGGAGAGCAACUGCUGCUGCAGGCACACGUUAUGUGUCGUACGAACAAGCUUGAACCCUUUCCUCCUUCAACUUCUCUUCUUUUUUUCUCUAAGGAUUCUCGCUGUCGGCUGACAUUUCCAUACAAACAUGGUCCCAUUUCCACCUUUCUCUUAUCUUUUUAACACUAUAACAACUACUAGUCGUUUUCCUUUAAUGUUACUGUUUAUAAUUAAUUAUGUGGGAGCAUGACGGUUUCGCCCUUAAAUUUUGGUUUCUUUUUUCUUUUUAGGACAUCUAGAUCCCUAUAGUUAAGAGAUACAGAUUCACGCCCCUAUCUGUUAGAAAAUCUUGUUUUAUUUUUAAUUAAAUUCGUCGGGCGAGCAAUUUAUUCAAAAUAAAUAAAAAGAAUUAUAACUUAAUUAGAGAUAUAAUUAGUCUUACUCUUACGAGAUAUCGUAUAAUAGUAGAAGAUCGAGAUUAUUAUAAAAGGACAAGCUAAACAAUUUAUGAUCAAAUAAACAUAUCACUAUAUCCAAGAUUAACCAGAUAGAUGAACAAAAUUACUAUUAUCCUAGAAAAUAUUAAAACACUGAGUAUUCAUCUUGCUGAUCAUAUCCUUGUAGUGAGCCAUCUAUUUUGAAGAAUCAAGAGAAAUUAAUUAGAGAAAUUAUCUCUACACCACUUUUAUUUUGUCAUUUGUACAUCUAACCAUAACAAAAUUUUGACAUGGUCUUUGCACCACCUUUAUUUUUAAACUUGU
This 5711-nucleotide long non-coding RNA is filed under the name Citrus x clementina. RNAcentral describes it as "Citrus clementina (C. clementina) long non-coding RNA (CCLE_LNC001852)". Lineage: Eukaryota; Viridiplantae; Streptophyta; Magnoliopsida; Sapindales; Rutaceae. The record is from RNAcentral.